Molecule: long non-coding RNA, 545 nt
Filed under: Cavia porcellus (domestic guinea pig)
Lineage: Eukaryota; Metazoa; Chordata; Mammalia; Rodentia; Caviidae
Description: lncRNA (ENSCPOG00000039470.1)
Source: RNAcentral
UAGGAACCAACCCCCUCCCCAAGAAAAGUUACAGUAGCAGCCCAGGCCAACAUUCAGCCUGAAGUUAAAGGGGCCGGAGCCCGACGGUCAUCUCCAGCCGGCUCUUUCCCCCAACUUUGGUCCAGCACCGGCUUGGCGAGGUGGUUGGACUGGGCGUGCGCCUGGGGCGGUAACCUGGACGCGGGUCACCUGCCUCGCAAGAGUGGACGCAGCCUCCCGCCCCACGCCCUCCACCUCCUCCUCCAUCGCUGUCUCCCUCCCUGGACGCCAGCGUCGGCGCCCCCUGCCCACCUCGCGAGGGGAACCGGCCGCAGCCCCCCCGGAGGUCAGCGCAGUGCAGCCUCCAGAGAAAGCCUUUCCUUGCCGUAUUGGAUGAAAACCUUUGUGUCUCUCAACUUUGUCUUCAGAGAAAACCAGCUCCUCGUGCUUCAUUUCAUUCCUAUCCUUGGACUUCCGAAGAGGUAGAAAUAGCUGGUCUUGGAGUCCCAGUCCCUGACAGUCUUUCAAGAUUUCUCUGCUCCUGCCAUCGGAGCAGACCUAAGUCU